Molecule: long non-coding RNA, 1265 nt
Organism: Megalobrama amblycephala (Wuchang bream)
Lineage: Eukaryota; Metazoa; Chordata; Actinopteri; Cypriniformes; Xenocyprididae
Exons: 6
Source: RefSeq, a predicted model, not a curated record
GUAGUAAUAAUCAGGAGGAACUCCGAGAUGAGUUUGUUUGCAAACUGUUGCCAAGCAACAUACAGCAGCCGCUUCAAAUUAAUUACGGCGGGAAACGGCUUCGAUCGCGUCUCAUCCAGUCACGCAUGGACUACUUCUGAAGUUGGUGGAGGCCUACCAUCUGAGCUAAAAAUAUAGGUUUGGGGCAUUUAAUACAAGGCAGUACGCCCAUAUGAAAGGGUGUAGCUGUGGACCAAUGCAAACAUGAGGACUGUGUAAAAGUGGAAGACAGUUUGAUGACAGACUUCUGUAAGAGAUGUGUGUCUGUGCAUUGCUUCACAUAUGAUAACAGCCCACCCAGUCAAGAAAAAAAACAUAAUUCAUUCCAAAGAAAUCCAAGCAACAUCUGCAGUAGAUCAAGGACAGGGCAAACCACGCCCCACAAACUGCAGCUUUCAAGAAGUUUGUGGAAGGACAGUGCUUAAUUUAAACCCAAGAACAUGGAGAAGACCUAAAAAUACCCUGUCAGAAAAGGAACGGUCAAAUCAUGCAACCCAAAGGCAUCAGUGGUAGGCUCCACACACAAUAUUGCUGAUCCAACAGUACAGCAAAAAUACAGCAGCGCUUUCCAAGUUCCUGUUGCUGUUAUGACCUACCUGAAGACUGACGCUUGACUUGCUGGGUAAUUUUGCCGUAAAGUUUGCAGAAUGCUGCUCCCAUCCCACUCAAGCAUAUGAGUGAUGACGCUUUCUGUCUCGAAAGCUUAACUCACGGCAUGCCAUGAGAAACACAAACGCUCAUCCUGUGCAGUCCACUCCCAGAACAGAAGGACAAACUCAUUUGUCUCUCGCCCAUGCAAUCUCCAAGGGUCGUCUCCAUUCCAGCUCGGCUCCGCGCUGGGAUUAGAUCAGACCGCUGAAACAACACACUGUAGACGGGACACACACACCGUCCAGAGGUCACGACAACACCUGUCUGUUACAAAAUGUCAAGAAAACACUCCAUUCUUUUCAUUACUUGAGUCAUUCAUUCGAUGGUUGUUAAACUGACAAACUAUUUGACAUGUUAUCGUGAACCUUUUCCCACAUCGGUGUCGGCUGUUUAGACUCGGCUCUGUCCUUCACUGUGGAACGGUGAGCGGAUGUUUUUAGUGCUCUGCUCUGUGUUUUUCUCUGUGGCUGUUGGCGUUGCGCAACUUAGCACUGCUUUUAUGCCUGAAAAGUGAUGUGUGCAAGUUAAUUUGUUUAUAAAAAGUAUGAAGUAUUGCUUUGCUUCUGUGAGACACA